GACGAACGCUGGCGGCGUGCUUAACACAUGCAAGUCGAACGGUAAGGCCCUUCGGGGUACACGAGUGGCGAACGGGUGAGUAACACGUGGGUGAUCUGCCCUGCACUUCGGGAUAAGACUGGGAAACUGGGUCUAAUACCGGAUAGGACCACUGCCUGCAUGGGUGGUGGUGGAAAGCUUUUGCGGUGUGGGAUGGGCCCGCGGCCUAUCCGCUUGUGGGUGGGGUGAUGGCGUACCAAGGCGACGACGGGUAGCCGGCCUGAGAGGGGUGACAGGCCACACUGGGACUGAGAUACGGCCCAGACUCCUACGGGAGGCAGCAGUGGGGAAUAUUGCACAAUGGGCGCAAGCCUGAUGCAGCGACGCCGCGUGAGGGAUGACGGCCUUCGGGUUGUAAACCUCUUUCAGCACCGACGAAGCGCAAGUGACGGUAGGUGCAGAAGAAGGACCGGCCAACUACGUGCCAGCCGCCGCGGUAA
RNAcentral lists this ribosomal RNA (479 nucleotides) under uncultured bacterium. Its description in RNAcentral is "partial 16S ribosomal RNA". It matches the Rfam family "Bacterial small subunit ribosomal RNA", at positions 28 to 523 of the family's 1533-position model. The record is from RNAcentral.